CACGAAGGGUGCAAGCGUUACUCGGAAUUACUGGGCGUAAAGCGUGCGUAGGCGGUUUGUUAAGUCUGUCGUGAAAGCCCCGGGCUCAACCUGGGAAUGGCGAUGGAUACUGGCGAGCUAGAGUACGGUAGAGGAGAGUGGAAUUCCCGGUGUAGCAGUGAAAUGCGUAGAGAUCGGGAGGAACAUCAGUUGCGAAGGCGGCUCUCUGGACCAGUACUGACGCUGAGGCACGAAAGCGUGGGGAGCAAACAGG
This 253-nucleotide ribosomal RNA is filed under the name uncultured bacterium. RNAcentral's name for it is "partial 16S ribosomal RNA". It matches the Rfam family "Bacterial small subunit ribosomal RNA", at positions 524 to 776 of the family's 1533-position model. The record is from RNAcentral.